ACACACUGGAAAACUGCACUAAAGAGCUACUUGCUGAGGGGCUCAUAAAAGUUCACACCUGAAGCUUGUUCUAUGUACUCUGGAAACAUGAAACAAACACGGCAGGAUGUUAAUUGCCAACUAAAGGGAAGAUCUCUCACUGAGCCCAGAUUAGGAUUCAGCUAAACUAGUUGGCCUUCACGGCCACAGGAAGCCAGUUGCAGCCUCUGCCCAUGGCUUCUCUAUCAGCUCCUGCCCCACUGCUGCCGAUGAACUGUGAUGUGGAAUGUUCUUCCCACGUUGAUCAUGGAGUUUCUUCACUGCAGCAAUCCUAAACCAGACGUCCAUGAAGACACAUUAAGACCUGGCUGUGUACAAUGCCCAUGACUUACCGGUGUGGGAGAGGACCAGAGGUGCAGGCCACCCACAUCUACAUCUUGUCAUCUCAGGGACACACAGACCCUGCCAGGCUCUCACGCGGCCACAUCAGGUUGCUCCUGGCCUGUUCCUCCUGGAGCCUCUUCCCACUGCACAGGGCAGGUGUCCAGCCUUUGGCUCAGCACUGCCCCCACCCCCACCCCCUCCAGCAAGACACAAAGAAGAGGCGCUUUGAUCCUUUAUCUGACUCACAGGCCUUGCACUCAUGCUCUACCAUUGCUGGUUGAGAGCUAAAGGGCGUGGCGUGGACAUACAAACAGACAAAAUGAAGAUGCCACAGCUGUGUGGUUCAGGGGUCAAUCAGAGUGGGCCUCAGCCCAGGGUUACAUUCAGAGCUCAGGGUAAGUGCAAAUGAAUGGAAUGUCAAACAGUGCAUGAGGGCUGCUCCCUCCCGAGUGCAGGCCUCAGAGAGGACCCAGAGCCACGGCUGCCCUCCCUUCACUGCAUCCUGCUGACCUUGGGGAACCCUUUUCCCUUCCACAGAGAGGAACUUGGUUCCAGGAGCCAGUGCUCAACUCCAGACCAGGAGUCUUUUCUCCUGCAUGUCUCACAGCCUGGAAGGGAUGAAACAGCCAAAUAAAGUGUUAAGGCAAUAAAUAAAAACUUCCCAGCUCAA
Molecule: long non-coding RNA, 1033 nt
Organism: Grammomys surdaster
Lineage: Eukaryota; Metazoa; Chordata; Mammalia; Rodentia; Muridae
Exons: 2
Source: RefSeq, a predicted model, not a curated record